This 253-nucleotide ribosomal RNA is filed under the name uncultured bacterium. RNAcentral's name for it is "partial 16S ribosomal RNA". It matches the Rfam family "Bacterial small subunit ribosomal RNA", at positions 524 to 776 of the family's 1533-position model. The record is from RNAcentral.
UACAGAGGUCUCAAGCGUUGUUCGGAUUCAUUGGGCGUAAAGGGUGCGUAGGCGGCGCGGUAAGUCGGGUGUGAAAUCUCGGAGCUUAACUCCGAAACUGCAUUCGAUACUGCCGUGCUUGAGGACUGGAGAGGAGACUGGAAUUUACGGUGUAGCAGUGAAAUGCGUAGAGAUCAUGAGGAAGACCAGUGGCGAAGGCGGGUCUCUGGACAGUUCCUGACGCUGAGGCACGAAGGCCAGGGGAGCAAACGGG